RNAcentral lists this long non-coding RNA (199 nucleotides) under Elaeis guineensis (African oil palm). Its description in RNAcentral is "long non-coding RNA (EGUI_LNC039097)". Lineage: Eukaryota; Viridiplantae; Streptophyta; Magnoliopsida; Arecales; Arecaceae. The record is from RNAcentral.
CCUGUUGGCAUGCCACUGAGCCGACUCAGUUUUGAACUGAGUUGACCCAGUCUCUUAAUUUAGUCGGCUCAGUGCUGACUAACCUGACCCAGCUGUCUCAGGCCGAAUAGUAAUGGUUACUAUUCAUGAUCAGUUAGUUGAUCAAAUAUCAGACUUAGUCGAUCUACUGAAGUGAGCCAACUCAAUUCAAAGGUGAGCC